GCUGGGUGUAGUGGUGCAUACCUGUAAUCCCAGUGGCUCUGGAGGCUGAGGCAGGAGAAUCAUGGUAGAAAGCCAGCCUAGAAAAAGUGAGGUGCUAAGCAACUUGGUGAAACCCUGUCUCUA
RNAcentral lists this small RNA (123 nucleotides) under Marmota monax (woodchuck). The record is from RNAcentral. Lineage: Eukaryota; Metazoa; Chordata; Mammalia; Rodentia; Sciuridae.